This 253-nucleotide ribosomal RNA is filed under the name uncultured bacterium. RNAcentral describes it as "partial 16S ribosomal RNA". It matches the Rfam family "Bacterial small subunit ribosomal RNA", at positions 524 to 776 of the family's 1533-position model. The record is from RNAcentral.
GACGUAGGGACCGAGCGUUGUCCGGAUUUAUUGGGCGUAAAGCGCGCGCAGGCGGCCGUGCAAGUCGGAUGUGAAAAUCCGGAGCUCAACUCCGGACCUGCAUUCGAAACUGCACGGCUAGAGGCAGGUAGGGGAGAGGGGAAUUCCCGGUGUAGCGGUGAAAUGCGCGGAUAUCGGGAGGAACACCGGUGGCGAAGGCGGCCCUCUGGUUGGAUACUGACGCUAAAACGCGAAAGCGUGGGGAGCAAACAGG